AGCAGCCGCGGUAAUUCCAGCUCCAAUAGCGUAUAUUAAAGUUGUUGCAGUUAAAAAGCUCGUAGUUGAAUUUCGGGGUCAAUAAGUUGGUCAUGCCAAUGGUAUGCACUGGUUUUAUUGAUUCCUACCUCUUGACGAACUGUGAUGCCAUUAAUUUGGUGUUGCAAGGAAUCAGGACUGUUACCUUGAAAAAAUUAGAGUGUUUAAAGCAAGCUUACGCUUGAAUACAUUAGCAUGGAAUAAUGAAAUAGGACGUUUGAUCCUAUUUUGUUGGUUUCUAGGAUCGACGUAAUGAUUAAUAGGGAUAGUUGGGGGCAUUAGUAUUCAAUUGUCAGAGGUGAAAUUCUUGGAUUUAUUGAAGA
RNAcentral lists this ribosomal RNA (362 nucleotides) under uncultured Glomus. RNAcentral's name for it is "SSU rRNA". It matches the Rfam family "Eukaryotic small subunit ribosomal RNA", at positions 569 to 935 of the family's 1831-position model. Lineage: Eukaryota; Fungi; Glomeromycota; Glomeromycetes; Glomerales; Glomeraceae. The record is from RNAcentral.